This 397-nucleotide long non-coding RNA is filed under the name Linum usitatissimum (flax). RNAcentral's name for it is "long non-coding RNA (LUSI_LNC003854)". Lineage: Eukaryota; Viridiplantae; Streptophyta; Magnoliopsida; Malpighiales; Linaceae. The record is from RNAcentral.
UUCAACUUCAGAGAAGGAAGAAGAUGAAGGUAUGUUCUUUCAGAUUUUUCUAUUUUCCAUGCCCACGGUAUUGAUCAACUCAUGUUUUAGGUCCUUCUUUUUAAUUCAACUUAUAUUCCCAUAAGUGGCUCCUUGGUUGAAAGCUUGUAUUGCUUUGGUUUGCUCCCUUUGAUGCAUUCCCUACUUGUUUGCACUUUGCCUUGGUGUAGUAUAAUCGUCCUUUGCUUGGGAGCUUUAUCCUCGGGAUGACCAUCCUUGAUUUUACCCAUAGGUGGCCCUCUAGGUUGAACAAUAGAGUGGAGUUAUCCCCUAAUGCAGGCAUCGGCUUGCUUCUUUGCUUUGGAAUUCAAAUGUGAUCUCCGAUGUAGUCAUAUUUUGUAUAUAAUGCUGCUUUUAU